GAAGAUGUCUGAGUUGGUGUGUUUGGUGACUACCAUUCAGCAAUUUAUGCUUGGGAUAGAAGUACCCUUGAGGCUGAGUCUAGGAGCCUGAGUUCUGGAUCUAGGAGGAGUUCUGGAUCACUUCUAGCUCUCGCAGCCAAGCGGGACAUGACACAUCCAGCCUGGGGAGGGAAUGUAGGUUCCCAACAGCGCUGCUGCUUCGACCUUGCUCUGGAUUUCAACUUUACCGGGCCUGGAGCUGCUGCUGUUGGUGCAGAAGAGCCACAGCACAACUGGGCCCAAGCUGGGCAGGUCAGCGGUGCCCCUGCUGCUGUGUUCUGUAGCAUAGUGAGACGGUGAGGGAAGGAGCCUCCCAGGAGCUACAGUCAGAGAGAGGACUCUGGUUUCAUUGGGAAGGAGUGUCGGGCAGCAUGGGCUGACUGUUUCCCGUGCACAGCCCCACACUCCAUGUGCCAGCCAGCCCAACGUGUCUCUCUGCCACCACAUCACGGGCACCAGGGCACUGUCGCAUCACAGCGUGAUCCUGCCGUGGGCUUCAGGGUGUGACUACCCUCCUGAGGCCUGGUGCAUACCCAGCUCCAAGCAGCCAUGGACUGUAGAGUUGAGGACUGUUGUGUUUGUAGGAAAGGCUUGCAGCUGUGGCUCAUUGGCAGCUGGCAGAGCUCUCAUCAGUGAUUUGAGCACUGGAAUACCUUCCCUGCAUGUCCUUCUAUUGCAAAGCCAGGAGCAAGAACACUGAGAUGAACCAUUUGUUCAUGAAAGCUGCCAGCAGAGGAUGUGGCUGAUGAACUGUGAGGGCUGGGAAGAGAUGUCUCCAGGGAGCAGGGCCCGGGCAGUGCUAUGUCCUUUCUGCACACGAGAAGGUCCAGAUGAGUCGACUCUCAGUGAGACCCAUUACAUCCAGUGCCCCUGAUCAAACCAAAGCCCAUAGGCCUACAUUGCUUUUGCUAAUACUAUAAUCAUCCAUUGCAGGCUUUUCUUACAUAACUAGCAAGUCUAUGUUGACUACAGGCUUUGCAGCUUGAAUUCACUCAUGCUUCCUAUUUUUUUUAGCUUCUGUUGGAGUUUCACAGCUCACCUAACCUGCAAGGGCCUCGAACAAAGUACGUGAAUAUGCACCACUUGCUGGCAGAACAAACAAUCCUCUCAGACAACAGGAUUGUUAUUAAAACGGGUUGUUUUGUUGGCAGAAUAGGCUUUCCCUGUUGCCAGGGGUUGCCCAAGGUGAGCCUGACCUCUGUGGUCUCUGAAGCUCUCUCUGGUGGGUGAGCUGAGCAAUGCUGGAAUGCAGCAUUUAAGAUGGAUUAACUGCGAACUUAACACAGGAAACAGUUCAGAGAGAGUAAAAGUAUUACACUGCAGAACUAAGGAUGAAACAUAACUUUUGAUCCCAUAGGACACAAGUUCCAAGGCUGAGAACAUGAUUAUUUGAUAAGAGUCACAGUCAUCUUGUCAGUGCAAGUAAUGUUUGCAGCCUCCUCUUAAGGCAGAAUUCUGCCUUUCCAGGUGCAAGGAAGGGCACUGGAGAGGCAGGCAUGUGGCCAGUGGAAGAGAUGGGUUUGCAUUCUCCCGCUGUGAGAGGAGUAACAAAACCAUGGACCCUACCUCACCCUUUCCACCCAGAGCAGGUCCCCACAUGCCAGGUCUGUCGCCUUUGAACUCUUAAAGUCUUGAUGCAGUUUCACGUGCAUCACAGCACAAACCCUGCACUUUGGUACUAACUUCAGCUGAAAUCAUUUGCACAGACCGGUCCUAAGAAACACCAGUCAUCCACCCAAGCGAAAUUCUGAAUUGCUGGCCGCACCCUGGCAACGUAAUGUUUUCAUACGGCCUAAGGAUCAGCAUGAAUUGGGGUUUCUGGAAAAGGAUAUAUCUGUUCCUUGCUCAGCUCACUAGCUCUCUAGCCACCAUCUGCAAAUCUCUUUGAUACUCUGUAAAAUGGCAUAUUACUACCCUUUAACUCUUUCACCAGGGCUGCAGGGCCAAACUGCUAGAGAUUGACCUGAGCUACAUGGAGUUUUCUGUUUGAUUGAGGUAAGUGGUUUGUUUGGUUUUGGGGCUUUUUGAGCUUAGUAUUGCACCUUAAAUAUUCCACUUUUAAACUGUGCUAUGGCAGGUGUUGGCUCUCUGUUACACUGCAGCUAAAAACCCAGUUUCUACCACAGAUGUUACAGGCAAAUCAGUUUGAAGAUUUUUGUUUCCUGAGCUAAACUACCAUUUAUUAGCUAGAGUUAUUACUAGAAGGCACAGCACAGUGCAUGACACUGUGCUGGGCUGCACAAAUAUGUAUUAAGCCCUGGACUACCAUGAAGAAUGUAGGGAGUAGGAUUACAAGCAUGACUUAGUUAUGAACUACAGACACUUAAAAAUGAAGAAACACUUUUGCAGUCUGAUUCUUGCCUACCACUACAGGAUUCAAAUCUAAAAUGCAACAGAUUCUAUGUGUCUAAGUCCAAAUGAAGAACGAAAAACUCUGAACUUGGUGCCAAUGAGGCCUCCAUGUUAUGGAGUGAUUGUGAAUACAUUUAUUUGACUAGUACAGACAAAGCCUUAUAUAAUUGAGGAAAACAGAGCUCUACCCUACAACAUCCUUGAUCCUUAUCCUGCCCCUUCAACUUAAUUCGAUAAUCAGCACUUACAUCACAGAGAGUUUGGAAAUAUUAUCCAGGCCUCUCCUUCAGCAUUACACUAUGUCAAACGAGUCCCUGCCUGUAAAUAUCUGCUUUCUUCACAACUUUCACCCAGCCCCAUGGUUAGCUUGGCUUAAGUCAGCAAAUACUCAGCAAAACUGGAAUUUGGAAACAGCUUAAGCUCAGCCCCUUUCUGCCUUCAGAUCCAUUGGUUUUACAGUUCUCAAGCAUCAUCAUUCAGCAUCCAGCUGGCAUCCAUUUGACUACAGUUGCUGCUGGAGGAGUGGGAACCAACCACCAUUGUUGCUGAGUUUAUUCUGUAAAUUCAGCCAAAAGAAACUGGUGCACGCCAUCUCGUGGCCCUGCACAGCUAUUUCCCGGGAACGAAUUGAGCUCCAACUGUGACAGGGAGGUUUAAUGUGAACAGGAUUUAAAAGAUGGCUGUCAGCAGCUCAGAAACAGCCCACUAUAUGACCACAGCUAUGAAACUUCCACCAUUAGCACUUGGUCCACACUCCUGCCACGACCUUGCAGCCUGAGCAGCUGUUUCCCGGAGCAGCAGCAGAGCAUCAAGCUGCAAAAGGCACCUCUUCAACAUGUGCUCACACACUGCUGAGACAGCCCUCCCCUCACAACCAAUACUCUGAACACCACAGCCCCAGAGCAGCCUUUGGUGGAGCAGGAAAUUACCUUAUGCAUUUCAGAGUAGGUCAUACACUUUAAUCAUUCUUGAUUACAUGCAAGGUUGGGAAUGUUCUUGGUACAUCUGUCUUCAUCUGCUCUCAGUACUUGUUAAAGAACUCUAUGUGUCAAUGCUUUAAAUAAAGCUAAUGUGUCUCUUCGUAACUGUUCAUUACAGCUGGAUACAUGAACUCAUGGAAACAUCAGCUGUCAGUCCCUUGGUGUAUCAUAAAUUCCUAUUCCUUCUUACUCCCUUUUUUUUUUUUUUUUUUUGAGAAAAACAAGUCAUUAAGAGACCCUUGCCAGAAGUGAUUAAGGUGUGAUUUCAUCAAGUCUAGUUGAGGGAAAUGGGGACAGAGUUCAAUUGUGUGAAUUUAAGGUCUUUGAUUCUAUUUUAAGUGGUAAGUUUCUGACUUAACAAUGUUUAUGACUUUUCAGAUGGGAGAUUAAAUCUGCACCAUUAAAUCAUCUCCAAAUUUGAAGUCAUAUUACCUUUAGCAGAAUUGCUGAUGGCAACACUUAAACACUGUCUCACUUCCACUGCUCUCACAGCUAUCGAAAGGCUGGAUAUAUAGUCAGCAACAACAGGACUUAAAAUAGCUACAGAAGGGGCACAACUUCAGACUAAGCAUCUUAUUUUGCCUGUUACUAGAGACAACUGCACAAGACCUAUGAAAGUUUGCAGCUUGCUGUUGGAAAGAAUCAUACCAGAUAACUUCAGAUGUUACUCCGGAGGACACUGUGCCAUACUGUAAGAACAAAAACAACUACCCAAGGAUUAUAGUUCAAAGCAUCUGAUUACAACCAGCAA
Long non-coding RNA from Corapipo altera (White-ruffed manakin), 4122 nucleotides. RefSeq lists it as uncharacterized. NCBI's taxonomy places the organism in Eukaryota, Metazoa, Chordata, Aves, Passeriformes, Pipridae. The record is from RefSeq and is a predicted model, not a curated record. The transcript has 5 exons.